RNAcentral lists this transfer RNA (77 nucleotides) under Armatimonadota bacterium. Its description in RNAcentral is "tRNA-Pro". It matches the Rfam family "tRNA". From Rfam's summary of the family: Transfer RNA (tRNA) molecules are approximately 80 nucleotides in length. The record is from RNAcentral. Lineage: Bacteria; Bacillati; Armatimonadota. RNAcentral also lists the same sequence under 1 other name.
CGGGGCGUGGCGCAGCUUGGCAGCGCGCCUGCUUUGGGAGCAGGAGGUCGCCGGUUCAAAUCCGGCCGCCCCGACCA